RNAcentral lists this long non-coding RNA (2414 nucleotides) under Marmota monax (woodchuck). Lineage: Eukaryota; Metazoa; Chordata; Mammalia; Rodentia; Sciuridae. The record is from RNAcentral.
AGGCAUUUCACUAUUAUUUCCAAGCAUCUGGUUUGCAGUAAUCUAGGAUAGAUCAAAGAAGAAGCAAUAGAGGUAGUGAGGAAUGGUUGGAUAAUGGAUAUAUCUUGCAGUAGGAGUCAAAAGAAUCUGCCUGUAAGCCAUGUAAGGAGUAAGGCCCAAGCAGCUGAAGAAAUUGCCAUCAAAUGAGAUUGAAAUGACUAACUCAUAUUUUUAAAAUGAGUUCCUUGUAAUAGACAUUAUUAAUGCAACAGUUAUCAAAAUGCUUUAUGAUGUUCUGUUAACUAAUAACACUAGUGCUUCUGUAUCUAGUGAUGAUGCUUGUAAAGUCAUAGCUACAAUCAGAAAGCAAAAACACUUCCUUGCAUAUCUACCUAAGUAGUACCACUUACCACAUAUUAACAAUCUUUGGAAGUUUUCAGAUUGUCUAGUUUUAUUUUAGGGAACCAAAAGAAAUAGGUCUGGGUAGUGUUAUGGUUCCUGAAAGGAAUUUAGUUUCCAGACCACAGGAUGAUGUUGAGGAUUAGGAUUAUAUAAUUUAAGAACAUUAGGUACUUUGAUAAGAUAAAGUUUUAUUGUUUAAGAAUAACAAAUCCUAGGGCUGGGGAUGUGGCUCAGUGGUAGAGCACUUGCAUUUUCCCUAGCAUGCAUCAGUUCUGAGUUCAAUCUCUAGUAUGGCGGGGGCAGUGCGGGGGGAGGGGAUGACAAGUUCUAAUUUGAAUCUUGCUUGACCUCAGAACUUUGGUAUAAGAAAUACUCUUUUGCCCUUUUUCUUGCUGAGUUUUCAUUUUGAAUCCAUUAAGCUUCACAUUUGAUGAUAUUUGAAUGCCAGGGUUUUAAUGUCAGUAUGUUUAGUUGCAUUCUGAUUUAGCCAAAAACUGACUAGCAGAAAUGGAAUUUAUUGAAAAAAUAAUACGCCAGAGAGAAGACUAUUUUAGGGUGCUGAAAUAUUUUAUAUCUUGAUCUAGGUGAUUAUAUCUUAAUCACAGGUGACUGUGUAUCAGGUUGCAUACUUAAGAUUUGUGACCUUUAUAAGUCUCAUCAAUUUUUUUAAAGCACACUUUUUAAAAAUUGGCAAGCUGAAGACAUAGACUUGAAAGAUAGGCAGAAACUAAAAGAAGUUAAGUAGUCAAAAUGACAGCAAUCAAGGUCAUGCCUGGUUGUGGUACUGCCAUUUUUAUUACCACCACACAGCCCCCAGAUCAUCAUUGGAAUUAAUUAUAAAAUAUCCUGUUCUCAGCAUAAUCCCUGAUUCAGGAUCCCUGGCAGAAAGCUGUAGAUGGUGUACCAAUUUCUAGGCGUUAGUAAUUGGCUUUCAUUCUUUCCCUAAAAUUUAUACAGUCAGUGGUAGAUUCUGUGACUACAAGAAAGGCAUUUGCUGGGAGGCAAAAGUGUCAAAUGUCCACAAUACUUCCCUAAACUUUAUCUUUCCCUGUUGCCUAAAUUGAAGUCUUUCCCACUUACUUCCAUAUCCUACCGAUCAAACGUCUGAGUACUGUAUGUCUUGACCCUACACUUCAGUUUGCUCUAUUACUUCAAGCUGCCAUUAUGCCAAUCUCUUAUCAUCACCUUUGCAAUCAGAGAUAUCUCCUUUCUCCAUUCCCACAGUCCAUCCUAUUAAUAGAAGCUAAAGUGAUAUAAAAAAAUGGACCAUUUCAUUCCCUAGGCCUUCUACUUUGCUCUCUCUGCUCUAGCAGGAGGAUCACAAAUUCAAAGCCAGCCUCAGCAAUGGGGAGGUGCUAAGCAACUCAGUGAGAUCCUGUCUCUAAAUAAAACACAAAAUAGGGCGGGGAUGUGGCUUAGUGGUCAAGUGACCUGGGUUCAAUCCCUGAUACCACCUGCCAAAGGCUGUCUCUGAAAAGUCUAUUGGUACUGAGAUUUUUGGGAAAAGUAGAUGGAGAUUUCUGUUUCUCAUAGCAAGUACUAAUCAUAAUACUAUUUGAUUAAAUUAUAGGCAUUUAUAAACUUGGCAAAUAUUUACACUUAAACGAAAUUUUAGAAGAAAAAAAUUAUCAAUACCAUUUGUCAUUGUUUGUCAUAUCACCUUGGCUUAUUUUCAUCAAGAUGUUUACUUCUGAAGUUACCUUGUUUUUAUUUGUUUAUAUUCCCUCUUUUAGAAUGUAAACCCCAGUAUAGCAGUAGGGACUUUGUAUAUGCAGUUUAUUGCUGUAUGACUAGGGACUGUAGCACAGAAGAUCUUAAAUUAAUUAUUAAUAAAUGAAUGACUAUAAAGGGACACUUGGAGAGUACUUGUAUUUUUCUUAGGGAAGGGCUAAGGACUAUAAGAUGCAAUGUUCAUAUAAUUUUAAAAAACUCACUCCUGAAUAAUUAUUUGUGGUUAAGAAAGUAAUGUUAUCUCUUUUCUCUCCCCCCCCCAUUUCCCCCUUAAUGACUUCAUUUUUUAAUUUUUAUUUUUU